RNAcentral lists this ribosomal RNA (544 nucleotides) under Lyomyces daweishanensis. RNAcentral describes it as "SSU rRNA". It matches the Rfam family "Bacterial small subunit ribosomal RNA", at positions 420 to 948 of the family's 1533-position model. Lineage: Eukaryota; Fungi; Basidiomycota; Agaricomycetes; Hymenochaetales; Schizoporaceae. The record is from RNAcentral.
GGUGUGUCAUCGUUGAUAAAGUAAGGGAAAAGAAAUGAUAUUACCUUACUAUUAGUGUCGUCCAAGUACUCGUGCCAGAAGACUCGGUAAGGCGAGAGACGCAAACGUUAGUCGUCUUAAUCAGGCGUAAAGGGUUUGUAGGCAGCUUUAAGAAUUUAUUCUCUUUACCCUCUAGCCCUGCCCCUUAAAUAGGGUGGGGGAUAAUGUUAAAGUUAAAAGAAUAAGUCAAUUAAAGCUAGAAUCAAGUAGAGGUUAAUUAAAUAAUGUUUGAACAUAGGGUUGAUAUCUUUAGAAUUCAAAUGGAAUACUAACGGCGAAGGCUUUUUUCCAAUAAUGAUUGACGCUGAGAAACUAAGGUGAGGAAAGAAAAAAGGAUUAGAGACCCUCGUAUCCCUCACUGUCAACGAUGAAUGGUAGUUACUAGAAAAUAUGUUCUAGAGGCGAUGUUAACACGAAAACCAUUCCGCCUUGUGAGUACGACUGCAAAGUUGAAAACAAAAAAAUUAGUCGGUUUCGGAGCAAACGAAGUGAAGCAUGUUAUUUA